RNAcentral lists this ribosomal RNA (437 nucleotides) under uncultured bacterium. RNAcentral's name for it is "partial 16S ribosomal RNA". It matches the Rfam family "Bacterial small subunit ribosomal RNA", at positions 29 to 507 of the family's 1533-position model. The record is from RNAcentral.
AGCGAACGCUGGCGGCAGGCUUAACACAUGCAAGUCGAGCGGGCAUCCUUGUGGUGUCAGCGGCAGACGGGUGAGUAACGCGUGGGAACGUGCCCUUCGGUUCGGAAUAACUCAGGGAAACUUGAGCUAAUACCGGAUACGUGCGAGAGCAGAAAGGUUUAUCUGCCGAAGGAUCGGCCCGCGUCUGAUUAGCUAGUUGGUGAGGUUACGGCUCACCAAGGCGACGAUCAGUAGCUGGUCUGAGAGGAUGAUCAGCCACACUGGGACUGAGACACGGCCCAGACUCCUACGGGAGGCAGCAGUGGGGAAUAUUGGACAAUGGGGGCAACCCUGAUCCAGCCAUGCCGCGUGAGUGAUGACGGCCUUAGGGUUGUAAAGCUCUUUUCUCCGGGACGAUAAUGACGGUACCGUAGGAAUAAGCCCCGGCUAACUUCGUG